CAGGAAAAGGAUUUAAGUCCUACCUUAAGUUUCUUCGUAAUUCUAAUUACUUCACAAAACUUAAGAGCUAUUCAAAUAAGGUACAGCCUAUUUGAAACAGGAUACAACCUACAACAUUGGGUAAUGACUUCUGCUUCAUAAUUAAGUGGGCCUAAGAGCAGCCACCUUUAAAAAAGCGUUAAAGCUUUAUUAUACUAGCACAAUAAUUAUAUUAAUCCCCCAAAACCCUUAUCCCAUACUGAGUGACUUCAUAAUAUUAUGAAAAACCAUAUGCUAGAACUAGUAACAAGAAGAAGACCUUCUCCAAAAUGUACGUAUAGGCCAAAAUGAACAACUCAUUGGCAUUUACCGCUUAUGAACUAACAGUAGUAACUCAACAAGAAAACUCUACUAUCCAUAACGUUAACCUUACACUAGCACAUUCCCGGAAAGAUUAAAAGGAAGGGAAGGAACUCGGCAAAUAAUAACCUCGCCUGUUUACCAAAAACAUCGCCUCCUGAAUAAUUAUAGGAGGUCCAGCCUGCCCAGUGACAAAGUUAAACGGCCGCGGUACCCUAACCGUGCAAAGGUAGCGCAAUCACUUGUUCUUUAAAUGAGGACUAGUAUGAAUGGCAUCACGAGGGUUAUACUGUCUCCCCCACCUAAUCAGUGAAACUGAUCUUCCCGUGAAGAAGCGGGAAUAGAAUUAUAAGACGAGAAGACCCCAUGGAGCUUUAAACUCAACAUCAACUGCCCUCUAAAUAACUUAUUAACCACGCAGAUCUGACAGUUAGUUUUCGGUUGGGGUGACCGCGGAGUAAAACAAAACCUCCACGAUGAAAGGAAUUAACCUCCUAAUCUAAGAGCUACAGCUCUAAGAAUCAACAAAUUGACAAAACUUGAUCCAAAUACUUUGAUCAACGAACCAAGUUACCCUGGGGAUAACAGCGCAAUCCAUUUCAAGAGCUCAUAUCGACAAAUGGGUUUACGACCUCGAUGUUGGAUCAGGGUAUCCCAGUGGCGCAGCCGCUA
RNAcentral lists this ribosomal RNA (1011 nucleotides) under Glyphoglossus yunnanensis (Yunnan squat frog). RNAcentral describes it as "partial large subunit ribosomal RNA". It matches the Rfam family "Bacterial large subunit ribosomal RNA", at positions 858 to 2564 of the family's 2925-position model. Lineage: Eukaryota; Metazoa; Chordata; Amphibia; Anura; Microhylidae. The record is from RNAcentral.